UUGUUUUUGUGAAUUCUUGAAACAAGUCAAGACCUCUGUUCUUACCAAAAUGCUUAAGAAUAGGUCAUCUCUCUCUUGCUUUCUCACCAUUUUCCAUUACAUACACAAGCUACAGUAAAACUCAUAUUAACCAAAAACGUCAACUGUUUUUCAAUUUUUUUUUUGUUUGUUUUUUAAAGAGACACCAGGUGGAUGAGGUAAUAUUUUAUUGGACCAACUUCAAGAAGGGAGAAACUUUUGAGCUUCGCAGAGCACUUCCUCAGGUCUGGAGAAGGAAACAGGCGUCCAAGCUAAAUACAAGGAGGUGUCCCACAAUGCCCAUCCUGAGGACCGCUCUGGUCAGCAGUUUGAAUUCCACUGCCCUGCAGCCAGGAGCUGGACACUAUCCUCUGUGGCGACUCCACCCGCACCUCCAUCUUCAAGAGCCCCGUGGAUACUUCGGACCUGGAAGCGGCAGAAAGAGGACCUAACCCAGAGGACAUGCUUUCAGUGUGCGCAGAGAUGUGUGCUUGCCAAGAGUCAGUGAGAAAGUGAUGGAUACGUUACAAAAGGUGUGUUUUAUUGAAAUGUUUCAAUGCUGUGCGUGAAUUUAGCAAUCAUGCUUCUGUGCAUUGUUCCUUGUGCUUCGGCAGAUGUGGCCUUCAGGAACACCCUGCGCACACCGACCGAGCAUCUCUGCUAGAUAAGAAAACGCCCAAGACUGAGUAAAGAAGACAUGUUCUGGGAGGUACUGCACUUCUCCAAUGCAGAGGAAAGGGAACGCAAGCCGAAAGGCAGGACAGAAAAGAGAAUCAGGAAUUUAAGGACACUACUGAGCAGAUGAUUAAAGUCAUGGAGGAGCAAACGCAGAUGCUGAAGUCCUUAAUAACGCUGCAGAUUAAGCAGAUGCGUGCCCGCCCUUCCCUGCAGCAUAUUCAGA
Molecule: long non-coding RNA, 919 nt
Organism: Malaclemys terrapin pileata
Lineage: Eukaryota; Metazoa; Chordata; Testudines; Emydidae
Exons: 3
Source: RefSeq, a predicted model, not a curated record